RNAcentral lists this ribosomal RNA (465 nucleotides) under uncultured bacterium. RNAcentral's name for it is "partial 16S ribosomal RNA". It matches the Rfam family "Bacterial small subunit ribosomal RNA", at positions 28 to 507 of the family's 1533-position model. The record is from RNAcentral.
GACGAACGCUGGCGGCGUGCUUAACACAUGCAAGUCGAACGGAAAGGCCCUGCUUGCAGGGUACUCGAGUGGCGAACGGGUGAGUAACACGUGGGUGAUCUGCCCUGCACUUCGGGAUAAGCCUGGGAAACUGGGUCUAAUACCGGAUAGGAGCCAUUUUUAGUGUGAUGGUUGGAAAGUUUUUUCGGUGUAGGAUGAGCUCGCGGCCUAUCAGCUUGUUGGUGGGGUAAUGGCCUACCAAGGCGGCGACGGGUAGCCGGCCUGAGAGGGUGGACGGCCACAUUGGGACUGAGAUACGGCCCAGACGCCGACGGGAGGCAGCAGUGGGGAAGAUUGCACAAUGGGCGCAAGCCUGAUGCAGCGACGCCGCGUGGGGGAUGACGGCCUUCGGGUUGUAAACUCCUUUCGCUAGGGACGAAGCUUUUUGUGACGGUACCUAGAUAAGAAGCACCGGCUAACUACGUG